UGGCAUCGAUGUUUUCACUUUUCACACGUAUGAGACGACGGGGAAAAGCUAGAGAGAGAAACAUACCGAGAAGAGAGAGAGGAAGGAGAAGCGAGAUAGGAAGAUGACUGAGAUCUCAAAUCGGAGAUCGUUAGGGUUUUUAUUACUACUCUCCUUAAUUUCUCUACAAUUUCUCUCAGGCUUAUCAGAUGAUUCAAAGUCUAAAAAAGAGGCAAAAACUGAUGCUCAUUCUUCUUCAAGUGGCAUGAGUGGAUCUACACUACUUAUAUUAUGCAUCGCAGUGGUAUCAGUUGCGGGUUUAUCAUUUUUCCUUUUCAAGCUAUGGCAAAAGAAGAAACGCGAAGAACGGUAUGCCCGUCUAUUAAAGCUGUUUGAAGAAGAUGAUGAACUUGAGCUUGAACUUGGUCUACGGGACUGAGCUGGUUAAUAUGAUGGAGAUGUAAAUGGCAAUUGUGGAUCAGAAAGACGAGUUCUAGUCACCAAUAGUAGAAUAUGGGCUGAAGAUGUAGAGACGCCAUGCCAGUGUCGUACAUGGUGAGGAGGUUUGAAUCUUCUUACUGAAAUUUGUAUUGAUAUGACCAAGAUACUAAACUUCCUUUUCCUUGACAUAUUCUUUAUCAUCGGGUCUGUUUUAUAGGGAAAAAUCGUUAUUUUGUGUGAAAUAUUAAGAUGUUGCAAUAUUGAAGUUGAUAAAGGCUUGUAAAUUUCAUAGUAUAUUACAUUGUCAGUUUGUCACCAA
This is a long non-coding RNA of Helianthus annuus (common sunflower), 739 nucleotides long. RefSeq lists it as uncharacterized. NCBI's taxonomy places the organism in Eukaryota, Viridiplantae, Streptophyta, Magnoliopsida, Asterales, Asteraceae. The transcript has 3 exons. The record is from RefSeq and is a predicted model, not a curated record.